RNAcentral lists this long non-coding RNA (176 nucleotides) under Monodelphis domestica (gray short-tailed opossum). Its description in RNAcentral is "lncRNA (ENSMODG00000030656.2)". The record is from RNAcentral. Lineage: Eukaryota; Metazoa; Chordata; Mammalia; Didelphimorphia; Didelphidae.
AAAUAUAAACAAAACAGUUAAUAACAAAGUAAUUUGGGAGGAAUAAUUUUUUAUUUUUUAGCAGGUGGUGGUGGAGAUUCAGGAGAGUCUUCCUGCAGAAGACAGCAUCUAAGAAGCAUCUUAAAGGAAGAGGGGGCUCUUUGAGAUGGAGUUACAGGUGAGUCACUGCAUCCUGG